GACGAACGCUGGCGGCGUGCUUAACACAUGCAAGUCGAACGGAAAGGCCCUGCUUUUGUGGCGUGCUCGAGUGGCGAACGGGUGAGUAACACGCGAGUAACCUGCCCCUGACUUUGGGAUAACUUCAGGAAACUGGGGCUAAUACCGGAUAGGAGCUACUGCUGCACGGUGGGGGUUGGAAAGAUUCGGCGGUUGGGGAUGGACUCGCGGCUUAUCAGCUUGUUUGUGAGGUAGUGGCUUACCAAGGCUUAGACGGGUAGCCGGCCUGGGAGCGGGACCGGCGACAUGAGGACUGAGAUACGGACCAGUCUCCUACGGGCGGCAGUAGGGGAGAAUUUUGCACAAUGGGCGGAAGCGUGAGGUGGCAACCCCGGGUGCGGAAUAACGGCUUUCGGGUUAUAAACCGCUUUCGCAUGUGACGAAGAGUGAGUGACGGUAAUGGGUAAGGAAGCACCGGCUAACUACGUG
This 468-nucleotide ribosomal RNA is filed under the name uncultured bacterium. RNAcentral's name for it is "partial 16S ribosomal RNA". It matches the Rfam family "Bacterial small subunit ribosomal RNA", at positions 28 to 507 of the family's 1533-position model. The record is from RNAcentral.